GGUCAAGUUAUUAAGGGUGCAGGGCGGAUGCCUUGGCACUAGGAGCCGAUGAAGGACGUGAUAAGCUGCGAUAAGCUUCGGGGAGUUGCACGUAAACUUUGAUCCGAAGAUUUCCGAAUGAGGAAACUCACUUAGAGUAAUGUCUAAGUAUCAUUAAGUGAAUACAUAGCUUAAUGAGGGGAACUCAGGGAACUGAAACAUCUAAGUACCUGAAGGAAGAGAAAGAAAUUCGAUUCCGUAAGUAGCGGCGAGCGAACGCGGAUUAGCCCAAACCAAUAAAGUUUUCUUUAUUGGGGUUGCGGACAUAUCAUAACGAAGAGGUAUCGUAAUUGAAGAGGUUUGGAAAGACCCACCACAGAAGGUAAUAGUCCUGUAUGUUAAACGAGAAGACUUCAGAUAUGAUCCAGAGUACCACGGGACACGUGAAACCCUGUGGGAAGCAGGAGGGACCACCCUCCAAGGCUAAAUACUACCUAGUGACCGAUAGCGUAUAGUACCGUGAGGGAAAGGUGAAAAGAACCCCGGGAGGGGAGUGAAAUAGAACCUGAAACCCUGCACUUACAAGCUGUGGAAGCACAUUUCUUGUGUGACCGCGUACUUUUUGUAGAACGGGCCAACGAGUUACGUUAAGUAGCAAGGUUAAGCACUUAAGGUGCGGAGCCGUAGCGAAAGCGAGUUUUAACUGAGCGUUCAGUUACUUGACGUAGACCCGAAACCGGGCGACCUACCCAUGAGCAGGAUGAAGCGAAAGUAAAAUUUCGUGGAGGUCCGAACCCACGAGCGUUGAAAAGCUCGGGGAUGACUUGUGGGUAGCGGUGAAAUUCCAAUCGAGCCCGGAGAUAGCUGGUUCUCCCCGAAAUAGCUUUAGGGCUAGCCUCAAGGUGAGAGAUACGGAGGUAGAGCACUGAAUGUCCUAGGGGGUAUUGCACCUACCGAAGACUAUCAAACUCCGAAUGCCGUCAUCUUAUACUUGGGAGUCAGACUGUGGGUGAUAAGAUUCAUAGUCGAAAGGGCAACAGCCCAGAUCGUCAGCUAAGGUCCCUAAAUGUAAGUUAAGUGGUAAAGGAUGUGGGAUUGCACAGACAACCAGGAUGUUGGCUUAGAAGCAGCCACUCAUUCAAAGAGUGCGUAAUAGCUCACUGGUCGAGUGAUCCUGCGCCGAAGAUUUCCGGGGCUAAAACUUACUACCGAAGCUACGGCAUCAGUAAUGAUGGGUAGGGGAGCUUCCCAUACGGGUUGAAGCAUGACCGUAAGGACAUGUGGACAGUAUGGGAGUGAGAAUGUUGGCAUGAGUAGCGAGAUGUGGGUGAGAAUCCCACAGGCCGUAAACCCAAGGUUUCCAGGGGAAGGUUCGUCCGCCCUGGGUUAGUCGGGACCUAAGCUGAGGCCGAAAGGCGUAGGUGAUGGACAACAGGUUGAUAUUCCUGUACUACCGAUAACCGUUUGAGAGAAGGGAUGACACAGUAGGAUAAGCUAAGCACACUGUUGGUUAUGUGUGCCCAAGCAUUGAGGCAGUCAAAGUAGGCAAAUCCGCUUUGAUAAUGCUGGGAUGUGAUGGGGAGCGAAAUUUAGUAGCGAAGUAGCUGAUUUCACACUGUCAAGAAAAGUCUCUAUCGAGGUUAAAGGUACCCGUACCGCAAACCGACACAGGUGGGUGAGGAGAGUAUCCUAAGGCCAGCGAGAGAACUGUUGUUAAGGAACUCGGCAAAAUGACCCCGUAACUUAGGGAUAAGGGGUGCCACCAUCAGGUGGCCGCAGAGAAUAGGCCCAAGCGACUGUUUACCAAAAACAUAGGUUUCUGCUAAGUCGCAAGACGAUGUAUAGGAGCUGACGCCUGCCCGGUGCUGGAAGGUUAAGGGGAUCUGUUAGAGCAAUCGAAGCAGUGAACUUAAGCCCCAGUAAACGGCGGCCGUAACUAUAACGGUCCUAAGGUAGCGAAAUUCCUUGUCGGGUAAGUUCCGACCCGCACGAAAGGCGUAACGAUUUGGGCACUGUCUCAACAACAGACUCGGUGAAAUUGUAAUUCCGGUGAAGAUGCCGGAUACCUGCGACAGGACGGAAAGACCCCAUGGAGCUUUACUGUAGCUUGACAUUGGGUCUUGGUACUACAUGUACAGGAUAGGUGGGAGGCUUUGAAACCAGGACGCCAGUUUUGGCGGAGCCAUCCUUGGGAUACCACCCUUGUAGUACUGGGACUCUAACCAUAGGCCAUGAAUCUGGUCUUGGGACACUGUCAGG
This 2238-nucleotide ribosomal RNA is filed under the name Clostridioides difficile. RNAcentral describes it as "partial 23S ribosomal RNA". It matches the Rfam family "Bacterial large subunit ribosomal RNA", at positions 1 to 2261 of the family's 2925-position model. Lineage: Bacteria; Bacillati; Bacillota; Clostridia; Peptostreptococcales; Peptostreptococcaceae. The record is from RNAcentral.